This is a long non-coding RNA of Nycticebus coucang (slow loris), 361 nucleotides long. RefSeq lists it as uncharacterized. Lineage: Eukaryota; Metazoa; Chordata; Mammalia; Primates; Lorisidae. The record is from RefSeq and is a predicted model, not a curated record. The transcript is spliced from 3 exons.
CUGGUUGCUGGUUGAGAGAGGGUUCUUGGCUGAAGGCGGGGACCGUCGGUAAGUGACAAAGUGUCCAGAGUGCAUGUCACCAUGGUGGACGACAACUGCCAUCAGCCGGAAGAGAGGACAGGACCUCCUGCAAGCUGGCCUUGCGGACAGCGUCAUCAGAGACCCAUAGCCACUGGUUGCUGGUUGAGAGAGGGUUCUUGGCUGAAGGCGGGGACCGUCGGACACGGCCUUCCCUCAUUUCCUGUGUAAGUGAGAUGACUGCAUUGAGAGAGAAAAAAAGGAAAAAAGGAAAGAAAUUCACUGGAAAAGCAAGACUGCAAUGGUUAGCUUUUCUCCCUACACUUUUUCAUCUGUAAUAAAG